RNAcentral lists this ribosomal RNA (253 nucleotides) under uncultured bacterium. RNAcentral describes it as "partial 16S ribosomal RNA". It matches the Rfam family "Bacterial small subunit ribosomal RNA", at positions 524 to 776 of the family's 1533-position model. The record is from RNAcentral.
UACGUAGGGUGCGAGCGUUAAUCGGAAUUACUGGGCGUAAAGCGUGCGCAGGCGGUUUUGUAAGUCAGAUGUGAAAUCCCCGGGCUUAACCUGGGAAUUGCAUUUGGGGCUGCAAGGCUGGAGUGUGGCAGAGGAGACUGGAAUUCCUGGUGUAGCAGUGAAAUGCGUAGAUAUCUGGAGGAACACCGGUGGCGAAGGCGGCUUCCUGGACCGACACUGACGCUGAGGCGCGAAAGCCAGGGGAGCAAACGGG